This 613-nucleotide ribosomal RNA is filed under the name Loma lingcodae. RNAcentral's name for it is "SSU rRNA". It matches the Rfam family "Microsporidia small subunit ribosomal RNA", at positions 698 to 1304 of the family's 1311-position model. The record is from RNAcentral. Lineage: Eukaryota; Fungi; Microsporidia; Glugeidae.
AUGUCGUGGUGCCGAAUAAUGGCGACGCGAAAGAGAAAUCGAGUAGGGCCCUGGGGAGAGUACACGCGCAAGCGAGAAAUUUAAAGGAAAUUGACGGAAGAACACCACAAGGAGUGGAGUGUGCGGCUUAAUUUGACUCAACGCGGGACAACUUACCGGGCCCGACGACCGUAUGAGUGUAACACACGAUAGGUCGAAGAGUGGUGCAUGGCCGUUAACGACGAGUGGAGUGAUCUUUGGGUUAAGUCCGUAAAUUAGUGAGACCUCAGCCGUAAGGGACAGGUGCGCAAAGCACAGGAAGGAUGGGUCAAGGACAGGUCAGUGAUGCCCUUAGAUGGUCCGGGCUGCACGCGCACUACAGUGGUCGCCGAAAUUACCUGAUAAUUUUAAAGGCGAUCGAGAGGGAAUGAGCUUUGUAAGAGGCUCAGGAACGAGGAAUUGCUAGUAAUCGCGGACUCAUUAAGACGCGAUGAAUACGUCCCUGUUCUUUGUACACACCGCCCGUCGUUAUCGAAGAUGAAGACAGGCGCGAACGAUCUACCAGAAAGUGAGCGCAGGUCUUUAGAUCUGAUACAAGUCGUAACAAGGUAGCUGUAGGAGAACCUGUAGCUGG